UACGUAGGGACCAAGCGUUGUCCGGAAUCAUUGGGCGUAAAGAGCGUGUAGGCGGCUUGUUAAGUCUUGCGUGAAAUCUCGGGGCUCAACCCCGAGCGGUCGUGAGAAACUGGCAGGCUAGAGUGCGGGAGAGGAGAGUGGAAUUCCUGGUGUAGCGGUGAAAUGCGCAGAUAUCAGGGGGAACACCGGUGGCGAAGGCGGUUCUCUGGGCAGUAACUGACGCUGAGGAGCGAAAGCGUGGGGAGCGAACAGG
RNAcentral lists this ribosomal RNA (253 nucleotides) under uncultured bacterium. Its description in RNAcentral is "partial 16S ribosomal RNA". It matches the Rfam family "Bacterial small subunit ribosomal RNA", at positions 524 to 776 of the family's 1533-position model. The record is from RNAcentral.